CUGCAGCCCGAGUGGUGACCGAUAUUAUUGAGCCUAAAGCGUCCGUAGCCGGUCUGGUAAAUUUUUGGGUAAAUCGGGCAGCUCAACUGUCCGAGUUCCGAGGAGACUGCCAGACUUGGGACCGGGAGAGGUCAGAGGUACUCCAGGGGUAGGGGCUAAAUCCUGUAAUCCUUGGGGGACCACCAGUGGCGAAGGCGUCUGACUAGAACGGAUUCGACGGUAAGGGACGAAACCCUGGGUCGCAAACCGGAUUAGAUACCCGCGUAGUCC
This 270-nucleotide ribosomal RNA is filed under the name uncultured archaeon. Its description in RNAcentral is "partial 16S ribosomal RNA". It matches the Rfam family "Archaeal small subunit ribosomal RNA", at positions 477 to 747 of the family's 1478-position model. The record is from RNAcentral.